UCUUGGUCAUUUAGAGGAAGUAAAAGUCGUAACAAGGUUUCCGUAGGUGAACCUGCGGAAGGAUCAUUAAAGAAAUUUAAUAAUUUUGAAAAUGGAUUUUUUUGUUUUGGCAAGAGCAUGAGAGCUUUUACUGGGUAAGAAGACAAGAGAUGGAGAGUCCAGCCGGGCCUGCGCUUAAGUGCGCGGUCUUGCUAGGCUUGUAAGUUUCUUUCUUGCUAUUCCAAACGGUGAGAGAUUUCUGUGCUUUUGUUAUAGGACAAUUAAAACCGUUUCAAUACAACACACUGUGGAGUUUUCAUAUCUUUGCAACUUUUUCUUUGGGCAUUCGAGCAAUCGGGGCCCAGAGGUAACAAACACAAACAAUUUUAUCUAUUCAUUAAAUUUUUGUCAAAAACAAGAAUUUUCGUAACUGGAAAUUUUAAAAUAUUAAAAACUUUCAACAACGGAUCUCUUGGUUCUCGCAUCGAUGAAGAACGCAGCGAAAUGCGAUACGUAAUGUGAAUUGCAGAAUUCCGUGAAUCAUCGAAUCUUUGAACGCACAUUGCGCCCCUUGGUAUUCCAGGGGGCAUGCCUGUUUGAGCGUCAUUUCCUUCUCAAACAUUCUGUUUGGUAGUGAGUGAUACUCUUUGGAGUUAACUUGAAAUUGCUGGCCUUUUCAUUGGAUGUUUUUUUUCCAAAGAGAGGUUUCUCUGCGUGCUUGAGGUAUAAUGCAAGUACGGUCGUUUUAGGUUUUACCAACUGCGGCUAAUCUUUUUUUAUACUGAGCGUAUUGGAACGUUAUCGAUAAGAAGAGAGCGUCUAGGCGAACAAUGUUCUUAAAGUUUGACCUCAAAUCAGGUAGGAGUACCCGCUGAACUUAAGCAUAUCAAUAAGCGGAG
Molecule: ribosomal RNA, 878 nt
Filed under: uncultured fungus
Lineage: Eukaryota; Fungi
Description: eukaryotic LSU rRNA
Rfam family: 5.8S ribosomal RNA (bases 432-585)
Source: RNAcentral